Molecule: non-coding RNA, 106 nt
Organism: Caerostris darwini
Lineage: Eukaryota; Metazoa; Arthropoda; Arachnida; Araneae; Araneidae
Source: the annotation of a GenBank genome assembly
ACGGCCGUACCAUGCUGAAUAUACCGGUUCUCGUUAGAUCACCGAAGUCAAGCAUCAUUGGGCGCGGUCAGUACUUGGGUGGGUGACCACCUGGGAACACCGCGUG